RNAcentral lists this microRNA precursor (84 nucleotides) under Bombyx mori (domestic silkworm). Its description in RNAcentral is "mir-2807 microRNA precursor family". It matches the Rfam family "mir-2807 microRNA precursor family". Lineage: Eukaryota; Metazoa; Arthropoda; Insecta; Lepidoptera; Bombycidae. The record is from Rfam by way of RNAcentral.
UCAGCUCGUAUUUGUAUGGAAUGGGAUCGUUUGCGUACGUUUGCCGCUAGGGGCGCUGUUCCAACUGCAUACAAAAUUGGGUUA